Molecule: long non-coding RNA, 1105 nt
Filed under: Manihot esculenta (cassava)
Lineage: Eukaryota; Viridiplantae; Streptophyta; Magnoliopsida; Malpighiales; Euphorbiaceae
Description: long non-coding RNA (MESC_LNC003561)
Source: RNAcentral
UAACAAAUCAACGAAUCAAGGGAAUUUUCUUUUGGCUUGAGGACAUCUUUGACAUAAGCGACUGUGAGUGUAAAAACUUUGGCACUCUUGCAUCUGAGUAUUUUUGUAAGGGUAAAGUCCAUGGAAUUUUCUGUUGCUUUCAUGGAUAUGUCCAAUAAGGGGUUUGGUUAAGAAAAAGAGCAGCAAAUUUCCUGGUUAGCUGCCUGUGGAUGCACUGAAAGAAAUUAUGAUGCAUUUGAUGAGGUGGUAUUGGUAAAUAAUGAUCAGUUGUUGCCAGGAGCAUAUACGCUAAUAGCAAUUGUAAGUGGUGAACGUAGUUACAUUACAAUUAGAUUGAAACUUUAUUCUAGAUGACCAAUUCUUCAGAAAUUUUCCCCCUUUAGAGGAGGUUCUGUAUAGAUCACCAUCAUGGCCCCAUGGGUUCUAAACUUUACACAUGCAACUUAAGUUGUGGCAUAGUAUCAAUCAUAUAAAUGGCAGCGGGGAAUUAGUAGCCAAUUUGCUGUUUGUUCUUCUUGUUUAGUCGCAUUGUUGCACAUCUCUGGCUGGUUCUUUCUCUCUCUUUCUUUUUAUAUGGUGAUGGGAGUCCAUGAAAACAGCAUAUUUGCAAAGCAGGGAUGCAUCAAUCUUCCCAAGAGUCCAUGCAGCAUUUCUGAUGCAUCCCAGAAUAGAGAAUAAAACAUAUAUAUUUUUGUAAGAAAAACUUCGCCAAAACAUAUUUCAUUUACUUCCCAAUUUUUUAUAAUGGAACUAUAUUUCUGCUGUAGACUGAGUUUCUUCAUUGGAUGGAAAUUCAACUGCUCUCGGGUUUGAUUCAAGACUUGUACGAUUUCCCCGAUUCUAUUUUUUUUUUAAUGGGAGAAUCUUACAGUUUAGAAGCAUUAUUUGCACGAUAUUAAAAUUAUUAAUAUUUAUUUAUAAUUAAUUAUAGUUUCAAAAAUAUAAAUUAUUUAUAUAAAUACGUCUAACUUGAUAUUAGAGAAAUUCUAAUAGUUAAUGGAUUUUCCUAUUUUCUUUAAAAAUUCUUAGUUAAUGUGGUUAUUAAAAUGAUUUUUUAAGUUUUAAUAUUAAAAUAUAUAAAUAAUAAUUUAUAACUUAUAAAAUC